AAGCUUAAUCUUCCUCCCAUUGCCUCCAUCCUGGAUUAACUCUUUUUCCAAAAAAAUGGUAUAAUGGCUCACAAUCACAUUGUGAUCCUAAAAGACCUAGCCUCUAACUUAUCUGCCUGUUGUUGCUUGACAUAGGCCGGACAUCACCAAAUCUUGAGAUAACCAAGAGUUGACUUCUUACCAUGCCAUAACUCAUAUGGUAUGGUAGGAAUGAAUUUAGAGAAAAUUCUAUUCAAUAGAUGGAUUACUGAAAGUAACACAUGUUCCCA
RNAcentral lists this long non-coding RNA (269 nucleotides) under Elaeis guineensis (African oil palm). RNAcentral describes it as "long non-coding RNA (EGUI_LNC053137)". The record is from RNAcentral. Lineage: Eukaryota; Viridiplantae; Streptophyta; Magnoliopsida; Arecales; Arecaceae.